ACACAAAUGGAAAGCUAAAUAUUUCUGCUCGAGGAAAUUCUUGCGAAGCUGAACAAUGUCAUCUACACAAUUAAUGAGAGAAUAACUGCACAGAGAAACCGUAAACCUCCAAACUCUAUAAAUUUAAUAAUACCACUUGGCACCCACAAACUCAAUUUUUUUUCUUAAAAAAAAUAAUCAGCCCACAUAGGAUAAAAAGACCUAGAAAUCUUCUGAAAUUCAAAUGUUCUUGAUUUCCCAGAAACAACUCCAUAGAACCGUAAAAUCCCUGAAGAAUCCUAUCACCUCAAAAUCUGAACAUCAUCACCCGUUAUAAUUUUCUUUCACCGACCUCAAGACUGGCUGACAAAAUCCCGAAAACAGAAGAAAAAAAUCAAUGAAUUUACAUAGUGGCAACCCAAAACCCAGAAAAUCUUAAGAGAGGACACACCCUUCACCACCGCUAAUUCCAUUCUCAUUCAUAUCCAUCAUCCAUCCACCGCAGAAGCUGGAAAAAAAUGUUAAUUUGUAUUUCAAUCCCCGCCAAAGUCAAAUGCUUUGUUUUUCUCUGCUACUAAUCCCACGCCAUCUACCUCUGCCUCCCUUUUCACUCACCGGAACCCUUUAGUUCUCUCCAAAAAAUUUUGUGGGUUUCUUUCGAUUUCGAAUUCUUCAGUUCCUCCUUCACCGGGAGCUUUAUGACGUGGUUGAGGUGGUCAUGGGUUUGGGUGGGAAGCCACUAGCGAGAUUUCCAUCUGGGGACUUUGUUUUAUCGGAUUGUCCCAUCACCCUUUAGGGUCCCCAGCAUGCUACUUCACAGGUAUUCAUAAAGGAAGUAGAAAAUCAUAUGCCCCGAGUGAGUGUGAUAGAUGAAAUCGGGACAAAACUUGAAGCAAUGGCUGCGAGUACAAUUGCACAGCAUGGGAUUCAGCUAGUGGCCACUACUCAUGGAAUCACAAUAGGAAUUUGAUAAUGAAUCCUUCUCUGGAGAUGCUUGUUGGAGGAAUAAAAUUGACAUGAUUUUUUAGAAGAAGAUUAGUAAUUGGUUUACUGUCAUUUGUUAUAUUACAAGUUGCUCGUUCAUCAAUAUCACUGUUAUGGUAGAUCAAAUAACUAAUCUAGCCUUGACAUAAUCAAUAUUUUUUUCUUACCUGAUGAAACCAGUCCUUAUUGGUAAGUCCAUAAAAUUGAGCCAAUCAGCUAUAGCUUUGUUUGACAUCAGUUCUGAAAGCAAAUAACCAGUUCUUUAGCACUAGUUAAACUGAUUAAUUUAUUGUCCCACUGCUUAGAUGAACUUUGUAUUUUACUUGUAUGAUGCUAAACUACUCAAGCUCAGUUCCAGAUAGGCUCAAUAAAACUCGAGAUGAAUAGCAACACAGAUGAACCAAGUUUUGGCAGCUUAAGGCUUGGCUCAACCUGUUAAAGACCUUUUGAAGUGUGUCUGCAGUAAUAUUGAUCGAAGUAUCCUCUCCCUCCUUUUGUCUUUCUAGCAUGUUUUCCCAUUUUAUUUCCGCCACCCAACCUAACAAAAUGGUCAUGUCUCUGUAACUGAAUUGAGGAGAAAUUAUUUCCAACAAGUAAAACAAAAAAUGAGGUGUUUACAAGCACACACACAAAAACAGAAUUGACAUCAAUUAUUUUAUUUGAAUAGAUGUGUCUUCUGCUUGCAAUCAUAUGAUUUGAUUUUUCAGAUUUAUUGUUGGGAUUUGAGUUCAAUUCAGAUCGAACACGAAAAGUUAAAAAGUUUUGGAUGCCAACUAUUUUAAUUGGUAAAGUUAUCUGGCAGGGGGUCAAGAGAUCAGAGAUCAAAUUCCACUUCAACCAGAGUUAGAAAAGGCUAAACUACUGCGAGGCGUGACACUUGAGUGUUAAUGUGUUACUGAUUGCAUCAAAGUGUUUCCACAUGGCAAAUCAGGGAAAAUGUCAGAGCCUCAUAAAUGACUUUUCGAAAACAUAUUAAGGGCCUAAGGACACAGGCAGCAGUGGUAAAGACAAGAGUGUGACACUAUGGGAUGAAGAAGCAAACCGAAGGGAUGUCCAGAAGAUGGUGAUGGAGAGGAGAGGGCCUUCAACAUUUAGUUAUGUGGUGGAGAUAAUUUCAAAGACUGAGUUGCAAGUUCAUCGCAGUCUAGAAGCAACACUGUAUGCUAUUUGGUCGUUCCCCAUAUGUGGAAGUUUGCAAGAUGACCUCUCAGUGAGUAGAAGAAACUGUAGAAAAUGAACCUGCCUUGAAACAUAUGCUGAAAAGAAAGAUGACGUUUUGGUUGAAGAUUUCCACUUGAAAGAUGAAAGGAUUGGUCAUAAUGAGUUCACUUCUGAAUCUCAUCUGGACAUGGGAGAUAAUUCUUUGGAACAUGAAGUACUGCUUCGCCUUUAUAUCUAUAGGUGUGAAAAAUACUGGAUAUGGAACUUACAUAAAGAGGAUACAAAAUUGUCAGACAAGAUCAAUGCCCUGGAGGUAAAAGUUAAAUUUCUUCUUUCAGUUGUGUUUUUUGAGUAUUUAUUAUUGAUUAAUCUAUUUUGUGAAUUGAGUGCAUUAACGAUGGUUUAUGUUUAUAAGGGAAGGGAAGAAUUCGUGGAUCACAAAACAGAGAAAGUCUAACCUAAAAUCAUCUCAAAUAUUAUGCAAUUAAAAUCCUAUGAUUCUAAGUUGAACUUUAUAGCUGUACAUUGUUACGGAAGCAUAGGUUUAGCCUUUACAUUCGUAUAAUUCCUAAACUACUGUGUAUAUAAUAUAAUACAUAAUUCUCAUCAAUGAAAUGUGUGGGAAAUAAUUCAUUGAAACUACUGCAAUAUUUGUUUCUUUAUAUGGUAUCAGAAGAGCCACACUCUAUCGAGCAAACAAUCCAUAUCUCCAUUAUAACUCCCUUCUCCUAUCAAAAUCCAAUUUUUAUUCUUAACACUUAACCUCCUUUCGCAACAGAUAAAACACUCAUUGCUCUCAACAUCACUGCCCAAAUCAAUGAAAACUUAACUCCCUCCUUUUUUCAACGGCGUGCUCAAUUUGAAGCACUCCUUAUAGGUUAUGAUUUACUCUAUUAUGCUAUUUACUCUAUUAUGAUCGAAGGUGCUUUUCGGUGCCCCUCUUCCGCUGUUGAUGAGUUCCACAUCUUUUCUAUAUGCUAGCUUGAAAAAAGCUAAAAACCUUACACGCUACCUGAGUAAUAACUAGUUCUAUGCAGUUGAAAGAGGAGCUCACCUUAAUCCAGCAUGGCCCAUGCAGCGUGGCAAUCGGUCGAUCACAAACUAUCUCCACGCUGUAAAGGCCUAGGCUAAUGAAAUCGCAAUCAUUGAACACCUAAUAUCGGAUAAUGACUUAAGCCUCUGUGUUGAAUGAUUUAGGUACAGACUUUCAGGAAAUAGCAGCACCAGCUUGAACCAGGGAGUCAUCACUGGCCUUUGAGGAGCUGCAUGGUAUUUUUGGGGGACAUGAGGGGUUUUAUCACUUGCUGUCAUGAAUGGAUAGGGUUUAAGGCAAAUGGAUGCACACAAUGCAUUUCAAAAUGGUGAAUUAACUGAAACUGUGCUUAUGGAGCAGCCCCCAAGGUUUAAAGAUUUGUCUAAACCUAAUUAUGUUUGCAGGCUAAGACUAGGGCCUUAAAUAAGCCCCACGGGCUUGGUACACAACACUUAGAAAUGCCAUUCUUCGGUUGGGUUUUCACAGUUCCAGGGCUGUUAGUUCUGUUUUCAUUGACAUCCAAGGAUCGUACCUGGUUUAUGUUGAUGUUGAUGAUCUUGUAAUUACAGGGAAUAAUUCAUCCUUUGUGGCAUCUGUUAUUCAACAAUUGGGUGCUAUGUUUUCUCUCAAAGAUAUGGGUUCUCUUUAUCUCUUCUUGGGAGUUGAAGUGAUUCCUA
Molecule: long non-coding RNA, 3834 nt
Organism: Populus euphratica (Euphrates poplar)
Lineage: Eukaryota; Viridiplantae; Streptophyta; Magnoliopsida; Malpighiales; Salicaceae
Exons: 7
Source: RefSeq, a predicted model, not a curated record